GGCCCUCCGACGAAAUAAUCGACUACGGUAAAAAGGAGAUCACGGCGGCGUAUAUCGAUGACCAGUGGUGGCGAACGUCGCGGCUCCGAUGCGCGCGGGUUCCUGUCAUCUCAUCUCGGCCCAAGGCCACAAUAACGAUAACACAUAAAUAUGUCUCCGUGCUGCGCGGUUAUGGACCCCAGGUGACAAUUGCGUCCUCUCCGGUGAAGAAAGAUGGCUCCGGUGGUGGUCAGAUCGAGAGGCGGUGGUGGGUCACGGCUUCUCCGAUCGCAAAACGUAUGACCUUAUGGAUCAAG
This 296-nucleotide long non-coding RNA is filed under the name Brassica rapa (field mustard). RNAcentral describes it as "long non-coding RNA (BRAP_LNC003169)". The record is from RNAcentral. Lineage: Eukaryota; Viridiplantae; Streptophyta; Magnoliopsida; Brassicales; Brassicaceae.